UACAGAGGGGGCAAGCGUUGUUCGGAAUUACUGGGCGUAAAGGGCGCGUAGGCGGCCUGCUAAGUCGAACGUGAAAUCCCUGGGCUCAACCCAGGAACUGCGUCCGAUACUGGUUGGCUUGAAUCCGGGAGAGGGAUGUGGAAUUCCAGGUGUAGCGGUGAAAUUCGUAGAUAUUCGGAAGAACACCAGUGGCGAAGGCGACUCACUGGACAUGUAUUGACGCUGAGGUGCGAAAGCGUGGGGAGCGAACAGG
RNAcentral lists this ribosomal RNA (253 nucleotides) under uncultured bacterium. RNAcentral describes it as "partial 16S ribosomal RNA". It matches the Rfam family "Bacterial small subunit ribosomal RNA", at positions 524 to 776 of the family's 1533-position model. The record is from RNAcentral.